CCGUCUAUAUACGUAUAGCAUAUCAAUAAGCGGAGGAAAAGAAACCAACAAGGAUUCCCUUAGUAACGGCGAGUGAAGCGGGAAGAGCUCAAAUUUGAAAUCUUCAAGGUUUUACCUUGACGAAUUGUAGUUUAAAGAAGUGUUUUCUGUUGGAGUUUUGGUAAAAGUUCUUUGGAAUAGGACAUCAUAGAGGGUGAGAAUCCCGUAUUUGACCAUUAUUUCCAGCUGUGUGAUACACUUUCAAAGAGUCGGAUUGUUUGGGAAUGCAGUCCAAAAUGGGUGGUAAAUUUCAUCUAAAGCUAAAUAUUGGCGAGAGACCGAUAGCGAACAAGUACCGUGAGGGAAAGAUGAAAAGAACUUUGAAAAGAGAGUUAAACAGUACGUGAAAUUGUCAAAAGGGAAGCGUUUGACACCAGUGUUGUUUUCUCGAAAAUCAAUUAAAAUGAUGGUUAUUUUUGAUGUAGUUAUGACUUCAUCAGGCUUUGCUGCACUUUCUUUAUGUACUUUCUUAAUGCACUUUUCGUUUAACAAGUCAACAUCAAUUUCUUUUGUUGUAAAAGAGUAUGAGGAAGGUGGCUUUCAUUUCGGUGAAAGUGUUUAUAGCCUUGUACUUCUGCAAUCGGAGAGAUUGAGGUCUGCAGCGUAGAUCCUUCGGGGUUAGAUACACUUGUGCUAAGUUAUAGCUUUUCAUAGACAACAUGUUGACUUAUGUUUAGUCUUGUAGCUUACUCGCUUAUGCUAUUUUACCUACGCUUAGGAUGUUGAUAUGCAUGACUGAUAU
RNAcentral lists this ribosomal RNA (781 nucleotides) under uncultured Neocallimastigales. RNAcentral describes it as "partial large subunit ribosomal RNA". It matches the Rfam family "Eukaryotic large subunit ribosomal RNA", at positions 25 to 633 of the family's 3401-position model. The record is from RNAcentral. Lineage: Eukaryota; Fungi; Neocallimastigomycota; Neocallimastigomycetes; Neocallimastigales.